Molecule: unclassified non-coding RNA, 74 nt
Filed under: Paraburkholderia unamae
Lineage: Bacteria; Pseudomonadati; Pseudomonadota; Betaproteobacteria; Burkholderiales; Burkholderiaceae
Source: RNAcentral
AGGGAAGCCGGUGGGAAUCCGGCACGGUCGCGCCACUGUGACUGGCACGCGGCAACGCGCCAGAAGUCAGACCU